RNAcentral lists this transfer RNA (85 nucleotides) under Gammaproteobacteria bacterium. RNAcentral describes it as "tRNA-Tyr". It matches the Rfam family "tRNA". From Rfam's summary of the family: Transfer RNA (tRNA) molecules are approximately 80 nucleotides in length. Their secondary structure includes four short double-helical elements and three loops (D, anti-codon, and T loops). Further hydrogen bonds mediate the characteristic L-shaped molecular structure. tRNAs have two regions of fundamental functional importance: the anti-codon, which is responsible for specific mRNA codon recognition, and the 3' end, to which the tRNAs corresponding amino acid is attached (by aminoacyl-tRNA synthetases). tRNAs cope with the degeneracy of the genetic code in two manners: having more than one tRNA (with a specific anti-codon) for a particular amino acid; and 'wobble' base-pairing, i.e. permitting non-standard base-pairing at the 3rd anti-codon position. Lineage: Bacteria; Pseudomonadati; Pseudomonadota; Gammaproteobacteria. The record is from RNAcentral.
GGGUCGAUGCCAGAGUGGUUAAUGGGGGCGGACUGUAAAUCCGCUGGCUACGCCUACGGUGGUUCAAAUCCACCUCGGCCCACCA